Molecule: ribosomal RNA, 495 nt
Filed under: uncultured bacterium
Lineage: Bacteria
Description: partial 16S ribosomal RNA
Rfam family: Bacterial small subunit ribosomal RNA
Source: RNAcentral
UGAACGCUGGCGGCGUGCCUAAUACAUGCAAGUCGAGCGAACGGACGAGAAGCUUGCUUCUCUGAUGUUAGCGGCGGACGGGUGAGUAACACGUGGAUAACCUACCUAUAAGACUGGGAUAACUUCGGGAAACCGGAGCUAAUACCGGAUAAUAUUUUGAACCGCAUGGUUCAAAAGUGAAAGACGGUCUUGCUGUCACUUAUAGAUGGAUCCGCGCUGCAUUAGCUAGUUGGUAAGGUAACGGCUUACCAAGGCAACGAUGCAUAGCCGACCUGAGAGGGUGAUCGGCCACACUGGAACUGAGACACGGUCCAGACUCCUACGGGAGGCAGCAGUAGGGAAUCUUCCGCAAUGGGCGAAAGCCUGACGGAGCAACGCCGCGUGAGUGAUGAAGGUCUUCGGAUCGCAAAACUCUGUUAUUAGGGAAGAACAUAUGUGUAAGUAACUGUGCACAUCUUGACGGUACCUAAUCAGAAAGCCACGGCUAACUACGUG